CUAAUAUUCCUGAGUCUAUAGAAGCACAAUACGAGAUCAAUUGAUUUUCAACAACAUUCAAGUAUUUGUUCAUCGAUUUCCAUUUCUUAUGCUGAGUGAAGUUGAUGAAGAAAAUUGUUAGAGUUAUAUCCAUUAAUUGCAAUAUGCUCAGUUUUUAUCUACUUGGGUUUCCAUUUAUUGACAAGAACAAAGGAAUGGGAGACUUUGCUGGAUGGUUUGGAAGAAAUAUCAAAUUCAUUCGUAUUAUAUCCAAAAAAAAUCAGUUGGGUAAACUUUGCUAGCAUUAAGCCUGUCCUUGGAUUAUUAUUUUUGGUUCCUUUUAUUGAAAGUUGGGAUACUGCUUGGAUAAUUUACAAAAGCAUAAUCUUUGUAUCUGCAACAUUACAAGCCUACUAUUUUAUCAUUUUUAUUUUCCACAUUCUGGAAACGUACAAAUGGAAGUUGAAGGAAAUGAAUUCGAUAAUGAAAAAAUCUAGGAGCAUCUUGACUCAAAACAUCAUAUCCGAGAGUUUUUUCGAUGAACAAAUUGAUCAUUUAAUUUUGAUGAAGAGGUCAAAUAGAGACUUCAAUAAACUAGGUGGAGAAUUUAUCAUCAGAUAUAUUGUUGUAUUCUGCUUCAAUUUGUUUCACUGUGUGGUGCAAUGUGAAUACUCGUAUAUUUUAACCGUGAUUGCUUUUUUGCCAGGUUUGACUUUCUUGAUCAUUGAAUGUGAGGAAGUAAUGCUGUUGAGUGAAAAGCUGUUGCAGCAGAUUAUUUGGAAUUUACAAUAUCAAAUAACCCACAACAAGAAGUUCGACUCAAAAAAUGUAAAAGCUUUGAUCAAAUUCAGGAAUGCUCUGAAAUUAUAUAAAAUGGAAUUCUCUUGCAAUGGCUACAUUAACUUGGAUCACCAGUUGAUACUUAAAAUAAUAGAAAUGAUUACUACAAUUAUCAUAAUAAAAUGUCAAAUGCCCAAAUGAAAAUAAAAAAUUUG
RNA transcript from Harmonia axyridis, 974 nucleotides. RefSeq lists it as uncharacterized. The record is from RefSeq and is a predicted model, not a curated record. The transcript has 3 exons. NCBI's taxonomy places the organism in Eukaryota, Metazoa, Arthropoda, Insecta, Coleoptera, Coccinellidae.